Molecule: long non-coding RNA, 1367 nt
Filed under: Mustela putorius furo (domestic ferret)
Lineage: Eukaryota; Metazoa; Chordata; Mammalia; Carnivora; Mustelidae
Description: lncRNA (ENSMPUG00000024209.1)
Source: RNAcentral
AUAUAUUUACAAAUCUGUUCAAAUAUUUAACCUCUUAACUUGCUAAAUAUCCCCCUCUUCUCCCUUUCUUUCUCUCUUGCGCUCUCCCCUCUCCCCCUUUCUGCCCUCUCUCCUCCUUUUCUUUCUCCUUCUAAAAGGGGUGGGAGCGAGAGGUGCCCUUCUGGAGUCCAAAAUGUGGCCGGGGGGCGCUGGGCUUUACCUGACCCUAUUUGAAUGCCAAUUUCGUUUCAGGCAAUUGCUUCUUUGCCAGCCAAAAAUCGGUUUUGAAUCGCCAGGGCUACCUUUUUUUUAAAGGAGAAGCUUUUGAUGUUGCCCCUGUUUUCAAACUGCCACCGAAAGGCAUCUCCUAGAUGGGAGGGAUUUUCCUGACCCUUUGGAGUUGUAGGUGCCCCCCAAUCUGUGAUGUUUUCCUCUGCGUUGCACCUUCAGCCGGUCAAGGGGACUAAUAGAGGGCAGCUGCGUAAGUGAGGACCUUCUAAACACAGUCGGGGAGUUUCGGCAGCCUUUUGGCAACCCGGCCAAGGCCAGAGGUGACCACAUAAUAUUUCAACUUCCACCAUCUUCAGAUGUCUGUUCUUCUUGGAGGCGGACUACUCACCAGUGGCCAGAAAGCGCUUUAGAAAAACCAGCCCUCACCUUGGACCCUAGCCUUCAACACACUCAGUUUGGAGAUACACCCCUCAGCGUCCAAGUACUCCUCGCCUCCUGGUCUAUCUGCCCGGAGCUGACCCUUCCGCGGUGACAAAACGCGCCUGUCUGCGUGAUAAUGACCUUUGCUCGCUGCUGUCGGGGCUGGAGUGCCGCGCCAGGAGCGCUUAGAGCCACCCAAACCUUGGACGAGGGGGGCGGGAGAGGGAGGAGUGCGGGCAACCGAUAGGGAAGAGGGAGUAGCUAACAUGUAUGUUUAAAGAGGUUUCCUAAAAACUUUUACAGAUGUCACAUAAGAGAAGGAAGGAAGACUGAGUUUAAAAAAAAAAAAAAAAAAAAAGUAUGUUUACUCUUCGUGCCACGCCAGACGCGGAGGAAAACGUUGGCACUGGAUUGUUAUGCGAUGUAUUCUGUAAAAUGCCAUCUAUUUGCAUGACUGUGUGAUGGUCAGGACAUUUCUCUCCCAUUGCACAACCCCCUUAGGAAAACUGCGGGCAGUUUAAGAGUUUUCUAGUUCUUCCUGAUCGGAAAAGAUAUUCAUCCAAAGACAUUAUCUAAAUUUGCGAAAGAAUGAAGGCUGCUUGUCAUGCGUCCUUCGUCUCCAGUAAUAUGUGCCGCCCAAUUAGAAGCAAUUUAAGCAAUCAAGGCCGUUAUGAGAGAAGGGGGUGUUAAAAAUAGGUUUUCUAUAGCCUCAGAACUCUAAUUCGGAAGAAAAUCUA